RNAcentral lists this ribosomal RNA (494 nucleotides) under uncultured bacterium. RNAcentral's name for it is "partial 16S ribosomal RNA". It matches the Rfam family "Bacterial small subunit ribosomal RNA", at positions 28 to 507 of the family's 1533-position model. The record is from RNAcentral.
GACGAACGCUGGCGGCGUGCUUAACACAUGCAAGUCGAACGGAAAGGCCUGCUUUCCCUUGUGGAUUGCGGGUGCUCGAGUGGCGAACGGGUGAGUAACACGUGAGUGAUCUGCCCCCAACUUGGGUAUAAGCCUGGGAAACUGGGUCUAAUUCCCGAUAGGACUGCAGGGUGGUGCCUGUGGUGGAAAACGAUUUUCUAGUGGUUGGGGAUGAGCUCGCGGCCUAUUAGCUUGUUGGUGGGGUAAUGGCCUACCAAGGCGGCGACGGGUAGCCGGCCUGAGAGGGUGGACGGCCACAUUGGGACUGAGAUACGGCCCAGACUCCUACGGGAGGCAGCAGUGGGGAAUAUUGCACAAUGGGCGGAAGCCUGAUGCAGCGACGCCGCGUGGGGGAUGACGGCCUUCGGGUUGUAAACUCCUUUCGACCGCGAGGAAGCCACCUGGUUGGAAGGGUGGUGACGGUAGUGGUAGAAGAAGCACCGGCUAACUACGUG